Molecule: ribosomal RNA, 463 nt
Filed under: Aslintesta camelus
Lineage: Eukaryota; Metazoa; Mollusca; Gastropoda; Stylommatophora; Camaenidae
Description: partial 12S ribosomal RNA
Source: RNAcentral
GGAAAUAAGUAGCAUCUAAUCACGCCAGCAAUAUUAACUAAUGGUGAAAUAUGUCGAUUCGUACCACUAUCAGUGUGAUAAAURAUACUGACAUUAGUGUUAGACAGGGAUUAGAUACCCCUUUAUACAAAUGCUCAUUCAAUGAUGCGGAGUACUACAACUAUCAUAGUUAAAACUUAAUCAGCAUGGCGGUAAUUUUAAUUUAGGGGAACUUACCAGUAAUUGAUAACCACCAAGGUAAAGCAACUGUAGGUAAUUCUUGUAUGCCGUCGUCGUCAGGUAUCACAUAAAGUAAUAUCAGAACCAGAUAAUGCAAAAGACAGAUCAAGGUGCAGACAAUCCAACAGAUUAGGCGAGUUACAAUUUAUAUUAUUCACAGACACACCUUGUAAAAAUGUGCGAAGAAGGACUUAACAGUAAUAAGUACCAAUUAUCUCUUAUGAAGCGGUAAAAUUGUGCACAA